RNAcentral lists this ribosomal RNA (303 nucleotides) under Geococcus coffeae. RNAcentral's name for it is "partial 28S large subunit ribosomal RNA". The record is from RNAcentral. Lineage: Eukaryota; Metazoa; Arthropoda; Insecta; Hemiptera; Pseudococcidae.
AAACCGCUUCGGGGGUAAACGGACAGAGCCCGUGAAUCCGGGCGGCAGAAUUCAGAAUCGAUGGCCGGCAACGGUCGUCGGUUUAAUAUUUCUGUCGCCGGCUUACUCGGACGUCGCGACCCGUUUGGUGUCGGUCUUAGGAGUCGCGCGUUUGUUCGUUGACCGUCGCUCUCGGGUGGCGUGUUAGCGAGUGUGUGAUUUUCCGGCUGACUUGCCAGGCGGUAUGCCAACGGUGUCCCUCGUCGUCGUUACUUUGGCGGCGAGUGGUUCCGGUCUGCGACGAUUUUUCGGGCCUCUUUCCGA